Triticum aestivum (bread wheat) is the source of this 135-nucleotide non-coding RNA. The record is from Rfam. Lineage: Eukaryota; Viridiplantae; Streptophyta; Magnoliopsida; Poales; Poaceae.
AAUGUACUUCCUCGGUCCGGAAAUACUUGUCAUUAAAAUGGAUAAAAGAAGAUGUAUGUAGACAAAUUUUAGUUCUAGUUACAUCUCUCUUUAUCCAUUUUGAUAACAAGUAUUUUCGGACGGAGGGAGUACGUG